Molecule: ribosomal RNA, 439 nt
Filed under: uncultured bacterium
Lineage: Bacteria
Description: partial 16S ribosomal RNA
Rfam family: Bacterial small subunit ribosomal RNA
Source: RNAcentral
CUACGGGAUGCAGCAGUGAGGAAUAUUGCACAAUGGGGGGAACCCUGAUGCAGCAACGCCGCGUGGAGGAUGACGCAUUUCGGUGUGUAAACUCCUUUUAUAUGUCAAGAAAAUGACGGUAGCAUAUGAAUAAACACCGGCUAACUCCGUGCCAGCAGCCGCGGUAAUACGGAGGGUGCAAGCGUUACUCGGAAUCACUGGGCGUAAAGGACGCGUAGGCGGGUUGGAAAGUCAGGUGUGAAAUCCUACAGCUUAACUGUAGAACUGCACUUGAAACUUCUAAUCUAGAGUAUGGGAGGGGGAGAUGGAAUUAGUGGUGUAGGGGUAAAAUCCGUAGAUAUCACUAGGAAUACCUAAAGCGAAGGCGAUCUCCUGGAACAUUACUGACGCUAAGGCGUGAAGGCGUGGGGAGCAAACAGGAUUAGAUACCCCGGUAGUC